RNAcentral lists this long non-coding RNA (679 nucleotides) under Dendronephthya gigantea. RNAcentral describes it as "uncharacterized LOC114525534". The record is from RNAcentral. Lineage: Eukaryota; Metazoa; Cnidaria; Anthozoa; Malacalcyonacea; Nephtheidae.
UGGUCUGCGUUUUGACUGUCUUCGUGCUAAUUUCUAAUCGUAUCUUUGCGAUAUGAGCCAGAAACUUGGACGUUUUUCGGACCCACGAGAUCCGAAAAGGCCAGAGCGUAUUUCGUUGGCUUACGGUGAAUGGAAAGAUAUCCCAAGCAGAAUUAUAAAAAAGUAUGGAAAGGUGGUCACUGAACUUGAUCUAAGCUACAAUAAAUUUUUUGAUUUAAAGUCCUUAUGCGGCUUCACGAAGUUAAACACAGUCAUCCUAGAUCACAACUCAAUAUCAGCGAGAUCAACAUUUCCCCAAUUGGACACGCUUGAGAUAUUAUGGCUAAAUCAUAAUCAAAUUACAAACCUGAGUUUAUUUAUUGAGAAAAUCUCGCAGAGCUAUCCAAAUCUUAAAUAUCUUAGCAUGAUCAAUAAUAAAGCUGCCCCAAGCUACUUCAAUGGUGGCACCUACACCUCGUACACAGAUUACAGGCAUUUUGUGAUUAGUUCACUUUGCAAACUUGAAAUAUUGGAUGGCACAAUUAUUACUGAGAGUGAACGAAAAGAAGCUACAAAGGUGUAUGGAAAACGAAGAGUAAAAACUCGCAAGGAUUAUGUACAUAAUAAGAGGAGAUUGUGAAAUCAUAUAUUAAUUUUUCUGAUAUUACACUAAAACCGUUAUCAAGUAGUUCAUGUUUUA